AACGAACGCUGGCGGCAUGCCUAACACAUGCAAGUCGAACGAGACCUUCGGGUCUAGUGGCGCACGGGUGCGUAACGCGUGGGAACCUGCCCUUAGGUUCGGAAUAACUCCCCGAAAGGGGUGCUAAUACCGGAUAAUGUCUUCGGACCAAAGAUUUAUCGCCUUUGGAUGGGCCCGCGUUGGAUUAGCUAGUUGGUAGGGUAAAAGCCUACCAAGGCGACGAUCCAUAGCUGGUCUGAGAGGAUGAUCAGCCACACUGAGACUGAGACACGGCCCAGACUCCUACGGGAGGCAGCAGUGGGGAAUAUUGGACAAUGGGCGAAAGCCUGAUCCAGCAAUGCCGCGUGAGUGAUGAAGGCCUUAGGGUUGUAAAGCUCUUUUACCCGGGAUGAUAAUGACAGUACCGGGAGAAUAAGCGCCGGCUAACUCCGUG
RNAcentral lists this ribosomal RNA (433 nucleotides) under uncultured bacterium. Its description in RNAcentral is "partial 16S ribosomal RNA". It matches the Rfam family "Bacterial small subunit ribosomal RNA", at positions 29 to 507 of the family's 1533-position model. The record is from RNAcentral.